UCCUCUGGUCUGGACAAGCCCAUAUUAAGUGGGAGAUGUUCAAUAUCAACCCGAUGCGAGGCAGCAAAUGUGGAAAUGGACGCAAGUCAAGGACAGCUGCAGACAGCAAGAUAAUGAAACUGAUACAGCGAUUGCACUGAAUCACUGAAGAUAUGAGCCGGAAUGCGAACAGUGUACUCGUACAGUUUGGCAGAAUAAACCCCAUCUUUAUGCGUUCAGAGCAGCUGG
Rhipicephalus sanguineus (brown dog tick) is the source of this 228-nucleotide long non-coding RNA. RefSeq lists it as uncharacterized. The transcript is spliced from 3 exons. The record is from RefSeq and is a predicted model, not a curated record. Lineage: Eukaryota; Metazoa; Arthropoda; Arachnida; Ixodida; Ixodidae.